This 1095-nucleotide ribosomal RNA is filed under the name Escherichia coli. RNAcentral's name for it is "partial 23S ribosomal RNA". It matches the Rfam family "Bacterial large subunit ribosomal RNA", at positions 1 to 1097 of the family's 2925-position model. Lineage: Bacteria; Pseudomonadati; Pseudomonadota; Gammaproteobacteria; Enterobacterales; Enterobacteriaceae. The record is from RNAcentral.
GGUUAAGUGAAUAAGGGCGCACGGUGGAUGCCUUGGCACUAGGAGCCGAUGAAGGACGGGACUAACACCGAUAUGCUUUGGGGAGCUGUAAGUAAGCUAUGAUCCAGAGAUUUCCGAAUGGGGGAACCCAAUAUCUUUUAUAGGAUAUUACUUUUCAGUGAAUACAUAGCUGAUUAGAGGUAGACGCAGAGAACUGAAACAUCUUAGUACCUGCAGGAAGAGAAAGAAAAUUCGAUUCCCUGAGUAGCGGCGAGCGAAACGGGAAGAGCCCAAACCAACAAGCUUGCUUGUUGGGGUUGUAGGACUCCAAUAUGGUAGUCUGUUAGUAUAGUUGAAGGAUUUGGAAAAUUCCGCUAAAGAGGGUGAAAGCCCCGUAGACGAAAUGCUAGCAACACCUAGGAGGAUCCUGAGUACGGCGGAACACGAGAAAUUCCGUCGGAAUCCGCGGGGACCAUCCCGCAAGGCUAAAUACUCCCUAGUGACCGAUAGUGAACCAGUACCGUGAGGGAAAGGUGAAAAGCACCCCGGAAGGGGAGUGAAAUAGAUCCUGAAACCGUGUGCCUACAACAAGUCAAAGCUCGUUAAUGAGUGAUGGCGUGCCUUUUGUAGAAUGAACCGGCGAGUUACGAUUGCAUGCGAGGUUAAGUCGAAGAGACGGAGCCGCAGCGAAAGCGAGUCUGAAUAGGGCGAAUGAGUAUGUAGUCGUAGACCCGAAACCAUGUGAUCUACCCAUGUCCAGGUUGAAGGUGCGGUAAAACGCACUGGAGGACCGAACCCACGUACGUUGAAAAGUGCGGGGAUGAGGUGUGGGUAGCGGAGAAAUUCCAAACGAACUUGGAGAUAGCUGGUUCUCUCCGAAAUAGCUUUAGGGCUAGCCUCGGAAUUGAGAAUGAUGGAGGUAGAGCACUGUUUGGACUAGGGGCCCAUCUCGGGUUACCGAAUUCAGAUAAACUCCGAAUGCCAUUCAUUUAUAUCCGGGAGUCAGACUGCGAGUGAUAAGAUCCGUAGUCGAAAGGGAAACAGCCCAGACCACCAGCUAAGGUCCCAAAAUAUAUGUUAAGUGGAAAAGGAUGUGGGGUUGCACAGACAACUAGG